RNAcentral lists this ribosomal RNA (305 nucleotides) under uncultured bacterium. RNAcentral's name for it is "bacterial SSU rRNA". It matches the Rfam family "Bacterial small subunit ribosomal RNA", at positions 335 to 637 of the family's 1533-position model. The record is from RNAcentral.
GGCCCUACGGGACGCAGCAGUGAGGAAUAUUGGUCAAUGGCCGAGAGGCUGAACCAGCCAAGUCGCGUGAGGGAUGACGGCCAUACGGGUUGUAAACCUCUUUUGUCGGGGAGCAAGACCCGCCUCGUGCAGGCGGAGCGAGAGUACCCGAAGAAAAAGCAUCGGCUAACUCCGUGCCAGCAGCCGCGGUAAUACGGAGGAUGCGAGCGUUAUCCGGAUUUAUUGGGUUUAAAGGGUGCGCCGGCGGACCAUCAAGUCAGCGGUAAAAUCGUGGGGCCCAACCCCACCCCGCAGUUGACACUGGG